UCUAUGGCUUGUGUCAGUUGCUAUGUUUGAUUUCAUUUAUUUAAAAGAAAAUAUAAAAACCCAUGAAAUAUGAAUUGGAGAAGAACGCAGACAAAAUAGAAAACUGUCACUCUGGUCAAUGGCGAUACAAUUGUGCCUUUCCUGUGCUCCAUUUGCUGUUCUUUUAUAGAAUUUGAAAGAUACUACAUUUAAUAUGCAUCCUGAACAAUUUGCCUACCAUAAGAAUACUUUGGACUUCACUUUAGACUUUUAAAGAAAGCACUUCGAACAAUUCGCCUACGGAGUUUUGUCUGUGUUUUGGGUUAUUGACUGUAAUUGUGAUGGACAUCAGAACGUUGUUACAGAAUUAUUUUUGCCAGUUGAUGCACGCGACAUUCAAAAGUCAGCAAUGAUUACAAGCUUACUCCAGGACUAUUUGGAAACCCCAGAGGCACCAACAAUUUUGGGAUACCUCAAGGAGAGAGUGUAAAGAUUGCAACCCUAUUUCAGGAUAGUUUGGUCACCACUCAUCAGUUGGUACACUACAGGGAGAGUGUAUUUCAUUCUUUAACUAACUCAGGACUUUUUACAAACAAUAUGGAUUACAAGCCUACAUCAGGGACAACUUGGGAAACAUCAAGAAAAGACAACAGGGAUUGCAAGCCUACUUCAGGGACAACUUGAGAUACAUCUGGGA
Molecule: long non-coding RNA, 676 nt
Organism: Agrilus planipennis (emerald ash borer)
Lineage: Eukaryota; Metazoa; Arthropoda; Insecta; Coleoptera; Buprestidae
Exons: 8
Source: RefSeq, a predicted model, not a curated record